UCUUGGCUGUGAUAAAGUUUCAAAGUAGUAAUCUUGUGAAAUUAUCAAAUCAAAUGCCAAAAACUGAGAAUCACCUGUGGAUUUUACUGAGCUGACUUCACAAAGGAGUGGAGCCAAAGUCCCCCAAACAAACCCUAGUUCACAAAAACUCAGCAGAGCCAUGUGGUGGGCACACAAUCUCAUGUUCAUGGUACAAUCCAGAUGCUCAGGAGAAACAUGUGGGUGAUUAUUCACACAGCUUGGCUGUGCAUGAGGAGUCCUGUAUAUACAUAUUAAACACACACACACACACACAUAAACAGGACACAUAUGUACAUACACACAAUAAGCAUGCACUAAACACCAUCAGCGAGUCAGGGAGAAUGGAGGCACCAUUAAACCAGGGUGUAGCUAAUGGAUUUGUAUUUGGACAGACUUGUUUUCCUAUUGGCAUUUGUGUUCCAUUCUCACUGGCAGCUUGGUAGGUACUAGGCUCAUGAUUUUAAAGUAGACAAAUGAUUGAGUUUCAGAAAGACCAUGGGUUGACCUGCAGGGGAAAUGCAGCAACAGAACCAGAUCCAGCCAGAAGAGAAAAGAUAAUGUGGAAAACCAGCAGAAUGGACUCGUGAUUUAGAGAGAGGCUGAGACUGAUCAUAUGAUGAAUGUCAGUGAAGAAUAGCUGCAUCCCAGAACUCAGGGUGCAGAAGCCGAGGACGCUGCUCUUCACUAGCAAUGCUGGUAUCUCAGUGACAGGGACAGAAAUGACCAAAUCUCUGGUCUUGGAAACAUGGGUCCUUAUAAUCAGGUAGUGUCCAUGAGAGAAAACUGUCAGAUAAAAUGUCUUCCUAGUACCAUCUGGCCUCUAACACUCUAUGGAAGCUUGACUUCCCCACUCUUGAGUUUCAACAGUCAAGGACAUGGGACAUGUAUUUUACAUGAGAGUGUAAUAAUCAGUCUAUGUUUUACACAGGCAAAACUGAUAUCAAUAAGAUGUCUACAUAUAAGGUUGUUUGGUUGCACGAGCAAGUAAGAUCUUCAUAGACAGGAGUCUCUUGUUCUUCAAGGUUGGUGCUUCCCCCACUUUGUGCAACAUGGGAUCCACGAAGACCCUGACCAUAGUUACUGAGUGACCAAAUCAUUAGACUAGAUUCUCUCAGUUUAAUCAUUCUAUCAGGCAAAAGAGAAGAAUCAUCAGGUUUUCCUAGUACCUUUUAUAGAUGGUAUAUUGAUCACAUUUUCCCUUUCUUAUUAUUCUUCUCUCACACUUUACAUCCUGACCACAGUUUCUGCUUCAUCCACUCUCCCUCCUCCCCUACCUCUCCUCUUCCCCAGAUCCAAUGUUCCCCAUUUCCCUCAAAAAAGAAUAGACAUCCCAGAAAUAUCAAUCUAACUGAGCAUAACAAGAUAUAAUAAGACCAGGCACAAAGCCUCAUAUCAAGGUUGGAAUAGGCAACCCAUUAGGAGGGAAAGGGCCCCAAGAACAGGCAAAAGAGUCAGAGACACCCAACACUCCCACUGUUAGAACUCCCAUAAGAACACCAAGUACUUCUGCUACCAUCCUUAUACCAGUAUUUUCAAGUGAAUUC
Molecule: long non-coding RNA, 1565 nt
Filed under: Mus musculus (house mouse)
Lineage: Eukaryota; Metazoa; Chordata; Mammalia; Rodentia; Muridae
Description: long non-coding RNA chr3:157071743-157073308
Source: RNAcentral